AAGAAUAUACUCUCAGGGGUCAUUUCUGCAGCUCAUUACCGCAGAAGCUUCUCUGAUUCUGCAGAACACCCGAAACCAUGAGAGGAGCCAGAGGAUCAUCUCCUGAGCAUGGAACCUUUCCUAGGUGUUGCUUUGGCAGCUGCCUCUUAGCACUGAUGAUCAUUCUUCUCUUCCCUAGGAGAGGGACAGGAUGCAGUCUGAGCAUUGU
Sorex araneus (European shrew) is the source of this 208-nucleotide small nucleolar RNA. RefSeq annotates it as small nucleolar RNA U3. The transcript has a single exon. The record is from RefSeq and is a predicted model, not a curated record. Lineage: Eukaryota; Metazoa; Chordata; Mammalia; Eulipotyphla; Soricidae.